CCUACGGGUGUCAGCAGUGAGGAAUAUUGGUCAAUGGGCUUACGCCUGAACCAGCCAAGUAGCGUGAGGGAAGACUGCCCUAUGGGUUGUAAACCUCUUUUGUCAGGGAGCAAUUGGCGCUACGGGUAGCGUUCUCGAGAGUACCUGAAGAAAAAGCAUCGGCUAACUCCGUGCCAGCAGCCGCGGUACUACGGAGUAUGCGAGCGUUAUCCGGAUUUAUUGGGUUUACAGGGUGCGUAGGCGGAAUGCCAAGUCAGCGGUAAAAUCGCGGGGCUCAACCUCGCUCCGCCGUUGAAACUGGCGUUCUUGAGUGGGCGAGAAGUAUGCGGAAUGCGUGGUGUAGCGGUGAAAUGCUUAGAUAUAACUUAGAACUCCGAUAGCGAAGGCAGCUUACCAGACUGCGACUGACGCUGAAGCACGAGAGCGUGGGUAGCGAACAGGAUUAGAUACCCCAGUAGUC
RNAcentral lists this ribosomal RNA (460 nucleotides) under uncultured bacterium. RNAcentral describes it as "partial 16S ribosomal RNA". It matches the Rfam family "Bacterial small subunit ribosomal RNA", at positions 338 to 795 of the family's 1533-position model. The record is from RNAcentral.